Molecule: long non-coding RNA, 1044 nt
Filed under: Scleropages formosus (Asian bonytongue)
Lineage: Eukaryota; Metazoa; Chordata; Actinopteri; Osteoglossiformes; Osteoglossidae
Description: lncRNA (ENSSFOG00015030141.1)
Source: RNAcentral
GGCUGACAGACAACAACCGUCGAAUCCCAGCGGUUUUAUUUUACCGCUCUCUGGCCACGUGUUUCAUGUAAAUAUCCCGAGUGUAAAACAGCAUGGAAAAAGUUUCAACCGAGGUGCGUUUGAUCAUCUUCGUGGCGCUGACAUUUGAAUUUAUUUCAGGUCUCUGACAAACAUACAGUACGCGGUCGAAUAAUGACAUUUUGGAAACGACUUUAACCCUACUGAGCUGUUUCAGGCGAAAUAGUAUUGAGAUCACGACAAAUAUUUAUUGUUUAAGUGCAACUGUAGAUCAACAAGAAAAACGCGGCAGUGAGUGUACACGGAAAAUUGCAAAUUGGUAAAUUAACCGCAUUCUGAAUAAUAGGCAGCGUUUUUUUUUGUUUGUUUGUUUGUUUUUUUUUUUUUUUGUUUUGCACAUUGCGAGAUAAAUUGCAGUACAAGGGACCGCGGUCACAGACGGCAUUGGAAAGCCUAAUCCAGACUGUGUGCCGUGUCUAAUCGGAAUUGACUGACGGGCAACGUUUCCACAUCACACAGUGACCAACUUUCUCUUUUCAGCCUUGGCAGUUCAAGUCGAAUAAGAACAAUGCGAACCUUCCUUACCAGUGAACUGGCAGCACAACCUUCGACUGCGGUGGCCACUCUCACAUCUCCAUGUGCCUCAUGCUGCGGUGGGGGGCAUGAAAAAGGGGCCAUGCUUUUGAGGAUGCAGCAGUAUGCGUGAGACGGGUUCAGCGGAGUUGCAAAAGAUGCGUGACCUGAUGCAAUCCUCAUGACCACGGCAGUAAUGGAGACGGAGAACCUGCACAAGUUUCCGCGUCUCCGAGGAAAGAGCUGACUCCCUCUCCCGCCUCCUUUUAAUUGGUCCAAGGAGGCCUGUUUGUGCAGAUUGAGAGGGGGCCUUACAAGGGAACCACAUGAUGCCUCACCCACGUCCGCAUUGUUGUUGCGAUGUCUCAAGUCUCGGCGCUGAUGCGCUUGUUUCUGAAAAUAACCGCAGUGUGGAAAAAUAAAAAUUGUCAGUUGAAAGGAGUGUGGAAUAUG